Molecule: long non-coding RNA, 2528 nt
Organism: Hypanus sabinus (Atlantic stingray)
Lineage: Eukaryota; Metazoa; Chordata; Chondrichthyes; Myliobatiformes; Dasyatidae
Exons: 3
Source: RefSeq, a predicted model, not a curated record
UCCCAGCAGUCCAGCCUAUAAUUCCAUCAAGCCAACACCGGGGUGGGGCAGCACCAAUGGGAGAGCCCACCCCCUCACCUAGCCCGGACCCCACACUGUAACACAAGCCCAAGGACGGAGGCAUAGACAUCACUACAACUGAGGCGGCACUGCUGCCUCGCUGCCUGGGAAGCAGCCCUGCGGCAAUCAAUGUCCAACAGGGUCUUGCGAUCACAAAAGAAAUGUCCAAGACAGUCGCUCGUGGUUUCACUACACGCUGCCAUCACGCCAACUCGAAAGCACCAACGUCAAAUAGCCGGCAGCUGCAUGGUCUGCACUCCGAUCAGCCUCGACCUUCAUUUACCGUUAAAUGCCCAAUCUUUCAUGCUGACCUGCCUGUCCCCAUAUUGUCACCUUUUCACCUUGGAUUAGAGCAUCUCCUGUCACCACCGACACCUUUGAGCAUUGAGGUGCCGUAAUGUUCCAAUAUUCACCAUGGGGACAGGGUUCCCAGUCAAACAGUGUAACUCCAUUGCUGAAGCUGGGACUGGUUAUUAUCACCACUGGCAAGACCAUGUCAAUUGCAGCACUGGAUCACUGGGAUAAUACAACUGAGCUUAUUUACAGAGGGGUCUUGUCUCAUUGGCUCAGUGUGUACACAGAGAGACUGCAGUCUUCCUGCCAUUUCCAUCUUCACGGCCUGAGGAUAAUGGAUACCCAGGUUUUACAAUAUAUUUCCAGAACUAACGACAAGGUCUUUAGUCUCUCCGGGGAUCUGCACACACUGACAGUGGAGUGAACUCUCUGACCCUCCCUCACUGCAUUGCUCUGACACCUGGUCCUUUUCCAACCUGGUGGGAUUGUCUCAUGUUUAGGACAUUCAUUAUCACAGCCGACCUGACCAAUCCCAGUCCAUGUCUGUUAUCUGGAACACUUGUCCACUGAAACAUAUGUAGAACUGUUUGUGUUGAUCAGUUUGGAAACAGUUUGAAACAGUUCUAAUGUUGUUGUUCAUUUCUCCCUGUGGACUCUAGAUGACAAGCAGUGGUGGUGGUGCCUGAAUAUUUGUAACAUUGUGGCUCUUGUCUUCAUCCUCAUUGCCCUCAUUUGCUGGAUUGUGUCUAAGGAUCAAAGCUGCACGACCAACAUUCCAAUCUGGAUCCUGUUCGCUCUAUUCGGGGUCACAGUUGUGAUAGCGUUGUCCAGAUUCUUUCCAGUUUGCGGAUCAUGGAGAAGUGCAGGAAUUACAAACUCUCAGCCCAGGUCACGAAGCUGAAGCUGAAAAUCAUCCGGUCAGUUAGAAGGGACACGGCAGCCUUCAGUUCCAGAGGUGACUGUAAGGGCAGGUUCUGUGUCCCUGCUGUAGACUGGAGCCUGGAAAAUCCUUCCCUCCAACAGUGGGAACAUGGUGCUCUGCAGCUGUAACUUGUCUCACCCUGAGUGAGAACAACACUGCACUCAUUUCAGCUCUCAGCUUCCGGUGAGAAAUUCAAUCCUUGAUAAUCUGGCAAAAUUCUCAUUGGGAUCAGAAUCAUUUUAAGGAACCAUGAAAGAGGAGCCCAGAGGGGCUCGGUCCACAAGACCUUAUGGGUUUGUCUCUGAUUUAGAUCUCUGGAAGGUGCAAUAACUACAUAAUAUGUGCUUCAGAAGACAGUCCUGACUGCAGUCUGGGACAUCAAACGCAGCUCCCACACACAGCUGAACUGCUUUGCCUGAUGAUGACAACCACAAUCAGGUUUAUUGUCACUGUGUUAUGAGAUGAAAUUUGUUGUUUUGUGACAAGAUCACUGCCUCUCAGAUUCCUUGCCUCGGGAUCAUUCAUUGCUGAUCUCUACCACAUCUCACACUUUACUCCUUGCUGCUGCAAUAAUCCCCAUUCAUUCACGCAUCGUUAACCCUGAGUAUAAUAAUGAGGCCGGCAUUAUCCAACUCAGAGUGACACAUCAGUGAUGAGCAUUUUCUUCACCAAUCUACAAACAUCCAACUAUUACUCCUGAGCCACUCUGAGAAGGGUCACAGAGUCACACAGCACAGAAACAGGCCCUUCGGCCCACCAAGUCCAUGCUGACCUUGUUGCCCAUCUGCACUGAUCACAUUUGCAAUCAUUGUGGAAUCUACAUCAAAUUUGGCAUUUUCCUGUCCAGAUUGUCUGCUGUUAGUCAAACUGAGGACAGUGUGUAGACUCCACCCCACCUUUGUGUUGUUGUAUCAGACUAAACCAGUGAAUCCAAGCACAGAAGUACUUUCCACUUUGUACAAGUAUUAAAACUGCUCUGGCUGUUACACUGAUGCUGUCAUCCGAAAUCCCAUAAAGAUUGUGAUUUUCCCCAGUACCAAUACCAGGUACAGCAUUUCCUCACAAAGUCCCUCCCAUUUCUGUACAGUGAGCAGUGAAACUGCAAUAAAUCUCUAUGAGUUUGAAUGUUGUAUUGGAGGGUGAUUUUGGGAUAUUUUAAUCCUAUACUGUUUGUACAUGUGUGCAUUUGUAUUUUAAACAUGUUACCUGGAAGCCUCUUUAUGAUCAUUGUUGAUUAAAUAAACCACUUCUG